RNAcentral lists this ribosomal RNA (252 nucleotides) under uncultured bacterium. RNAcentral describes it as "partial 16S ribosomal RNA". It matches the Rfam family "Bacterial small subunit ribosomal RNA", at positions 524 to 776 of the family's 1533-position model. The record is from RNAcentral.
UACGGAGGAUGCGAGCGUUAUCCGGAUUUAUUGGGUUUAAAGGGUGCGUAGGCGGGAUGCCAAGUCAGCGGUAAAAAUGCGGUGCUCAACGCCGUCGAGCCGUUGAAACUGGCGUUCUUGAGUGGGCGAGAAGUAUGCGGAAUGCGUGGUGUAGCGGUGAAAUGCAUAGAUAUCACGCAGAACUCCGAUUGCGAAGGCAGCAUACCGGCGCCCUACUGACGCUCAGGCACGAAAGCGUGGGUAUCGAACAGG